Molecule: unclassified non-coding RNA, 230 nt
Filed under: Hevea brasiliensis (rubber tree)
Lineage: Eukaryota; Viridiplantae; Streptophyta; Magnoliopsida; Malpighiales; Euphorbiaceae
Source: RNAcentral
GAAAAUCAUUGAUAGAUAAUCAAGUAUUAGAACUUGAAAUCACCUAGAUUUAUAAAUAAAUUAGGGUUUUAAGAGUAUUCAAUGAUUUGUUACAAAACUUAAUGGGUUUUAAGUUAAUCAAAUAUCGUGUGAAAGUAGGUUUGGUUUUCUUAAAAUAUUCUUUGGUUUACUUGAAAAAGAUAUUAAAAGAUUUUAGAAUCAAUCAUCUUCAAACUCUAUUUUCUUUUAAA